AUGGCCUCGAGCUCCCUCCCGCUCCGCGCCCUCCUGGCCCUGCUGACCCUGCCAGGGCUCCGGGCGGCCGUGACCCUGCUGGAGUGCGGGGGGGACCUCCAGCCCCCCGGAGGGUCCCUGACUCUGCUCUGCCGCGGAUCUGGAUUCAAUUUCGGGAGUUACAGCAUGCAGUGGGUUCGUCAGAGCCCCGGGAAGGCGCUGGAAUGGGUCGCGAGUAUCAGCAGCAGUGGCAGCAGCACCUACUACGCGUCGUCGUUCAAGGGCCGGUUCUCGAUCUCCUGGGACAACGGGCAGAGCUCGGUGACGCUGACCAUGAACAACCUCAAGGACGAGGAUUCCGCCGUUUACUUCUGCUCCAAAGAUUACGGCAAUUACUAUGGUGCUACUGCUACUGCUGCUGGUAAUGGCGGUUUUUUCAACGAUGCCAUCGAGAACCGGCCCUGCACCGACGACGCGUAG
This is a non-coding RNA of Catharus ustulatus (Swainson's thrush), 459 nucleotides long. NCBI's taxonomy places the organism in Eukaryota, Metazoa, Chordata, Aves, Passeriformes, Turdidae. The record is from the annotation of a RefSeq genome assembly.